CGUCUCUCUGCUGCGGCGCGGGGACCGCUGUGCUCUCGGGAAAGCCCUGAGAAACUACCAGAACGGGGUCCCUGGGGCCAGUGUUGGGAGCGUACGGUGAAGUGGCAGGGCUGCUGCGCCCGUGCGGAACUCCGCUGUGGAAGAUUAGCCCCUUUGGUGACUCGUCGGUUCUGGCCGCUUUGGGACCCUCUACUGUGCAGUCUGAACUUUCAGCAGGUGGAGGAGGGCAGAGAGAGAGCUGAGAUCGUUGGUCCAUGCCAGUGCGAGAGCCAGUACGGCCGGAAGCCAUGAUGGGACUUUCAGUUCCUUUCUUGGUGGAGGCCAGCACAGGGGAGAGGGGGUGCCCACAGAUGCUAGAAGCUUAAAGGCUGCUGGGGGCUAGCGGCCUCAGGACAUAAGGUUUCCAGACAGGACGGGGCAGGUGGUGAUGCAGCUGUAGCUCGUGAGUCUGAGCGGGAAACAGCCCCCGCGCAGUCGGUGUCGCUGUGAACGGAAAAGGGCCUUCCUUACACAGGAAACGGGGUCUCUGGGGGAUCCAGUGACGUGCCCAACCACAGAGACCAGACCCCUCCUCCUGUAGAGAGUGGUGCUGCCCUCUCGGGAUGUACCUGCAGGUGGAGACCCGCACCAGCUCCCGCCUCCAUCUGAAGAGGGCUCCAGGCAUCCGGUCCUGGUCCCUGCUGGAAUCUUGUCGAUUGGCCUGGCUGCUGCCUACUACAGCGGAGAUAGCCUGGGCUGGAAGCUCUUCUACGUCACAGGCUGCCUGUUUGUGGCUGUGCAGAACUUGGAGGACUGGGAGGAAGCCAUCUUCGACAAGAGCACAGGGAAGGUUGUUUUGAAGACGUUCAGCCUCUACAAGAAGCUGCUGACUCUUUUCAGAGCUGGCCACGACCAGG
This 896-nucleotide long non-coding RNA is filed under the name Homo sapiens (human). RNAcentral describes it as "non-protein coding lnc-C17orf62-6:5". The record is from RNAcentral. Lineage: Eukaryota; Metazoa; Chordata; Mammalia; Primates; Hominidae.